CAGCAGCUGCGGUUAUUGCUUCUUCCGGGACAUUUUCCGGGACAUUUUCUUCCGUAGGAGCAGCAACUGCGGUUAUUGCUUCUUCCGGGACAUUUUCUUCCAUAGGAGCAGCAGCUGCAGUUGUUGCUUCUUCUGGGACAUUUUCUUCCAUAGGAGCAGCAGCUGCGGUUGUUGCUUCUUCUGGGACAUUUUCCUCCAUAGGAGCAGCAGCUUCGGUUAUUGCUUCUUCCGGGACAUUUUCCUCCAUAGGAGCAGCAGCUUCGGUUGUUGCUUCUUCCGGGACAUUUUCUUCCAUAGGAGCAGCAGCUUCGGUUGUUGCUUCUUCCGGGACAUUUUCUUCCAUAGGAGCAGCAGCUUCGGUUGUUGCUUCUUCCGGGACAUUUUCUUCCAUAGGAGCAGCAGCUGCAGUUGUUGCUUUUUCUGGGACAUUUUCUUCCCUUGAAGCAAUAGCAAUUGUUGCUUCUGAGGCUUUACGCUUU
Molecule: long non-coding RNA, 479 nt
Filed under: Eucalyptus grandis
Lineage: Eukaryota; Viridiplantae; Streptophyta; Magnoliopsida; Myrtales; Myrtaceae
Description: long non-coding RNA (EGRA_LNC000262)
Source: RNAcentral